UACGUAGGUGGCGAGCGUUAUCCGGAUUUACUGGGUGUAAAGGGUGUGUAGGCGGGGAAGCAAGUCAGAUGUGAAAACUAUGGGCUCAACCCAUAAAGUGCAUUCGAAACUGUUUUUCUUGAGGAUCGGAGGGGUAAAUAGAAUUCCCGGUGUAGCGGUGAAAUGCGUAGAUAUCGGGAGGAAUACCGGUGGCGAAGGCGAUUUACUGGACGAUUACUGACGCUGAGACACGAAAGCGUGGGGAGCAAAC
This 250-nucleotide ribosomal RNA is filed under the name uncultured prokaryote. RNAcentral describes it as "partial 16S ribosomal RNA". It matches the Rfam family "Bacterial small subunit ribosomal RNA", at positions 524 to 773 of the family's 1533-position model. The record is from RNAcentral.